AUGUCGCUCUACAACUUCACGUACGUCCUCAUCGGCGACUCAGGUACGCUCCCCGGGUCAUCUUCCAAUCCCCUCCUCUUGCUGCUCGUUCCGUCGCGUGCAGCUCUCCUCUCGAUGUCGGGGAGAUCUGAUUGGAUGGUCCGACGACCUAGUGCAGGUGUCGGCAAGACAUGCCUGCUGGUGCAGUUCCUCCACAAGGAGUUCCACCCCGUCCUUGAGCUCAACCUCGACACCGAGCGCGGAGACAGGAUGAUCACCAUCGACAACAAGCCCGUCAAGCUUCUGAUUUGGGACACGCCAGGCAGAGACGCAUUCAGAUCGCUGACUACACCACUCUACUACAUGGCUGUCGGUGCUCUUUUGGUUUAUGACAUCACCAGGAGGGAGACUUCUAACCAUCUCGUGAACUGGCUGCAAGAUGCAAGGCAAUAUUCGCACCCUGGCAUGACAAUAAUGCUGAUUGGGAACAAAUGUGAUCUAUCUCACAGCCGUGCCGUGAGCUAUGAGGAGGGCAAGCGGUUUGCAGAGGACCAUGGUCUGCUAUUCAUGGAGGCAUCUGCCAAAACUGCACAGAAUGUUGUGGAGGGUUUCCUUCAGACUGCUGGAGCAAUAUACCAGAAAACUUAG
Molecule: ribosomal RNA, 627 nt
Filed under: Triticum aestivum (bread wheat)
Lineage: Eukaryota; Viridiplantae; Streptophyta; Magnoliopsida; Poales; Poaceae
Description: partial small subunit ribosomal RNA
Source: RNAcentral